This 411-nucleotide ribosomal RNA is filed under the name Verrucomicrobiota bacterium. RNAcentral's name for it is "Verrucomicrobia bacterium partial 16S ribosomal RNA". It matches the Rfam family "Bacterial small subunit ribosomal RNA", at positions 355 to 776 of the family's 1533-position model. The record is from RNAcentral. Lineage: Bacteria; Pseudomonadati; Verrucomicrobiota.
UGGGGAAUAUUGCACAAUGGACGGAAGUCUGAUGCAGCGACGCCGCGUGGGGGAUGAAGGCUUUCGGGUUGUAAACUCCUUUCAGUGCAGAAGAAGCUUUAUUGUGACGGUAUGUGCAGAAGAAGCGCCGGCUAACUACGUGCCAGCAGCCGCGGUAAUACGUGGGGCGCGAGCGUUGUCCGGAAUUAUUGGGCGUAAAGAGCUCGUAGGCGGUUUGUCGCGUCUGCUGUGAAAGACCGGGGCUUAACUCCGGGGCUGCAGUGGGUAUGGGCAGGGUGGAGUGCGGUAGAGGUACCCGGAAUUCCUGGGGUAGCGGUGGAAUGCGCAGAUAUCAGGAGGAAAACCGAUGGCGAAGGCAGGUUACUGGGCAGUUACUGACGCUGAGGAGCGACAGCAUGGGGAGCGAAAAGG